This 194-nucleotide small nuclear RNA is filed under the name Nicotiana attenuata. Its description in RNAcentral is "snRNA U2". It matches the Rfam family "U2 spliceosomal RNA". Rfam says of the family: U2 is a small nuclear RNA (snRNA) component of the spliceosome (involved in pre-mRNA splicing). Lineage: Eukaryota; Viridiplantae; Streptophyta; Magnoliopsida; Solanales; Solanaceae. The record is from Rfam by way of RNAcentral.
AUACCUUUCUCGGCCUUUUGGCUAAGAUCAACUAUAGCAUCUGUUCUUAUCAGUUUAAUAUCUGAUAUGUGGGUCAUCGACCCACGCGAUAUAACUCAUUUUCUAAGGGAGAAGGCCCAUUAGGUUAGCUUGCUACCUCGGCCUUCGCGCGUCGCCUAGGCAUUGCAUUACAGCGCAGACCUAGCGCCCCUAAA